Molecule: microRNA precursor, 63 nt
Filed under: Pristionchus pacificus
Lineage: Eukaryota; Metazoa; Nematoda; Chromadorea; Rhabditida; Neodiplogasteridae
Description: mir-8364 microRNA precursor family
Rfam family: mir-8364 microRNA precursor family
Source: Rfam by way of RNAcentral
UCUUCAUUCCACCCACUCUCUCGCCGGUCAGAGAGGCGAGAGAGUGUGCGUGAAGUGAAGAGA